RNAcentral lists this ribosomal RNA (324 nucleotides) under uncultured eukaryote. RNAcentral describes it as "partial 18S ribosomal RNA". It matches the Rfam family "Eukaryotic small subunit ribosomal RNA", at positions 1470 to 1796 of the family's 1831-position model. The record is from RNAcentral.
CCCUUAGAUGCUCUGGGCCGCACGCGCGCUACACUGGUCGAUGCAACGAGUUUCUUUCCUUGGCCGACAGGCCUGGGCAAUCUUUGAACAUCGAUCGUGAUCGGGAUAGAUUCUUGUAAUUUUUGAUCUUAAACGAGGAAUUCCUAGUAAACGCAAGUCAUCAGCUUGCAUUGAUUACGUCCCUGCCCUUUGUACACACCGCCCGUCGCACCUACCGAUUGAGUGAUCCGGUGAAUAAUUCGGACCACUGCUAAGCCCAGCAAUGGAAUUAGCGGAGGGAAGUUUAGUGAACCUUAUCACUUAGAGGAAGGAGAANUCGUAACA